GUAAAAGAGAAUAUUAUUGGCUUUUUAGUUAAUUUUUUUAAUUUAAAUUAGUUUAGUUUUUAGGUGGAAUUUAUAACUAGAUUAUAAUAUUAUAUUUUAUUAUGAUACUAUGAAACUUAUAAUAUAAACAAGGAUUAGAUACCCUUUUAUUUUAAGUAUUAAUUUUUGCCUGGGUAGUAACAGUUAUGUUCUUGAAACCCAAAGGAUUUGGCGGUAUUUUAGUCUUUUCAGAGGARCCUGUCCUGUACGAUUCAAUUUACUWUKACUUGUUUUAUCAGUUUGUAUAUCUCCGUCAUAAGAGAGUCUUUUUAGAGUAAAUUUUCCUUUCCUUUAAAUAAGAAUAUGUCAGGUCAAGGUGCAAUUUAUGUAAAAGUGGAGGUGGGUUACAAUAUAUUUAUAUAUAUGGAUUGAUGUUUUUAUAAUUUCAUGAAGGNGGAUUUGAUAGUAAAUCUGAUUGUUAAUCAGUUUGAUUUUGGCUCUAAAAUAUGCACACAUCGCCCGUCGGCUCUCACUUUAAAGUGAGAUAAGUCGUAACAUAGUAGACGUAUCGGAAGAUGUGUCUAGUAAGAAUUUAU
Molecule: ribosomal RNA, 575 nt
Filed under: Lestes barbarus
Lineage: Eukaryota; Metazoa; Arthropoda; Insecta; Odonata; Lestidae
Description: partial 12S ribosomal RNA
Source: RNAcentral